UACGGAGGGGGCGAGCGUUAUUCGGAAUCACUGGGCGUAAAGCGUGCGUAGGUGGCGCGUUAAGUGAGAUGUUAAAUCGUGUGGCUCAACCAUAUCGAUGCAUCUCAUACUGGCGUGCUAGAGGACAGCAGAGGCAAGUGGAAUUUGUAGUGUAGCAGUGAAAUGCGUAGAUAUUACAAGGAACACCAAUGGCGAAGGCAGCUUGCUGGGCUACUCCUGACACUGAGGUACGAAAGCGUGGGGAGCGAACAGG
RNAcentral lists this ribosomal RNA (253 nucleotides) under uncultured bacterium. RNAcentral's name for it is "partial 16S ribosomal RNA". It matches the Rfam family "Bacterial small subunit ribosomal RNA", at positions 524 to 776 of the family's 1533-position model. The record is from RNAcentral.